Molecule: ribosomal RNA, 564 nt
Filed under: cf. Phaeosphaeria sp. CBS 123.76
Lineage: Eukaryota; Fungi; Ascomycota; Dothideomycetes; Pleosporales; Phaeosphaeriaceae
Description: eukaryotic LSU rRNA
Rfam family: 5.8S ribosomal RNA (bases 224-377)
Source: RNAcentral
UUCCGUAGGUGAACCUGCGGAAGGAUCAUUAAAUUCAGUAGCUUGCUACUGUUAGGGGGGUCUAUUAGUCUGUAUAGUAUCACUACUGAUGAGCAGCACGACCCUCUGUCUAUACCCUUGUCUUUUGCGCACUCAUGUUUCCUCGGCGGCUUUAUACCCGCCGGCUGGAUCAAUCUAUAACCUUUUUAAUUUUCAAUCAGCGUCUGAAAAACCUAAUAAUUACAACUUUCAACAACGGAUCUCUUGGUUCUGGCAUCGAUGAAGAACGCAGCGAAAUGCGAUAAGUAGUGUGAAUUGCAGAAUUCAGUGAAUCAUCGAAUCUUUGAACGCACAUUGCGCCCCUUGGUAUUCCAUGGGGCAUGCCUGUUCGAGCGUCAUUUGUACCCUCAAGCUCUGCUUGGUGUUGGGUGUUUGUCCACUAUCGUGGACUCGCCUUAAAGUCAUUGGCAGCCAGUGUUUUGGUAUUGAAGCGCAGCACAUUUUGCGCCUCUAGCCUAGAACACUAGCGUCCAGUAAGCCUUUUUCCACUUUUGACCUCGGAUCAGGUAGGGAUACCCGCUGAAC